RNAcentral lists this ribosomal RNA (1344 nucleotides) under uncultured bacterium. RNAcentral's name for it is "16S ribosomal RNA". It matches the Rfam family "Bacterial small subunit ribosomal RNA", at positions 28 to 1378 of the family's 1533-position model. The record is from RNAcentral.
GACGAACGCUGGCGGCGUGCUUAACACAUGCAAGUCGAACGGAAAGGCCCUGCUUUUGUGGGGUGCUCGAGUGGCGAACGGGUGAGUAACACGUGAGUAACCUGCCCUUGACUUUGGGAUAACUUCAGGAAACUGGGGCUAAUACCGGAUAGGAGCUCCUGCUGCAUGGUGGGGGUUGGAAAGUUUCGGCGGUUGGGGAUGGACUCGCGGCUUAUCAGCUUGUUGGUGGGGUAGUGGCUUACCAAGGCUUUGACGGGUAGCCGGCCUGAGAGGGUGACCGGCCACAUUGGGACUGAGAUACGGCCCAGACUCCUACGGGAGGCAGCAGUGGGGAAUAUUGCACAAUGGGCGGAAGCCUGAUGCAGCAACGCCGCGUGCGGGAUGACGGCCUUCGGGUUGUAAACCGCUUUCGCCUGUGACGAAGCGUGAGUGACGGUAAUGGGUAAAGAAGCACCGGCUAACUACGUGCCAGCAGCCGCGGUGAUACGUAGGGUGCGAGCGUUGUCCGGAUUUAUUGGGCGUAAAAGGCUCGUAGGUGGUUGAUCGCGUCGGAAGUGUAAUCUUGGGGCUUAAACCCUGAGCGUGCUUUCGAUACGGGUUGACUUGAGGAAGGUAGGGGAGAAUGGAAUUCCUGGUGGAGCGGUGGAAUGCGCAGAUAUCAGGAGGAACACCAGUGGCGAAGGCGGUUCUCUGGGCCUUUCCUGACGCUGAGGAGCGAAAGCGUGGGGAGCGAACAGGCUUAGAUACCCUGGUAGUCCACGCUGUAAACGGUGGGUACUAGGUGUGGGGUCCAUUCCACGGGUUCCGUGCCGUAGCUAACGCUUUAAGUACCCCGCCUGGGGAGUACGGCCGCAAGGCUAAAACUCAAAGGAAUUGACGGGGCCCCGCACAAGCGGCGGAGCAUGCGGAUUAAUUCGAUGCAACGCGUAGAACCUUACCUGGGUUUGACAUGGAUCGGGAGCGCUCAGAGAUGGGUGUGCCUCUUUUGGGGUCGGUUCACAGGUGGUGCAUGGCUGUCGUCAGCUCGUGUCGUGAGAUGUUGGGUUAAGUCCCGCAACGAGCGCAACCCUUGUUCACUGUUGCCAGCACGUUAUGGUGGGGACUCAGUGGAGACCGCCGGGGUCAACUCGGAGGAAGGUGGGGAUGGCGUCAAGUCAUCAUGCCCCUUAUGUCCAGGGCUUCACGCAUGCUACAAUGGCUGGUACAGAGAGUGGCGAGCCUGUGAGGGUGAGCGAAUCUCGGAAAGCCGGUCUCAGUUCGGAUUGGGGUCUGCAACUCGACCUCAUGAAGUCGGAGUCGCUAGUAAUCGCAGAUCAGCAACGCUGCGGUGAAUACGUUCCCGGG